Triticum aestivum (bread wheat) is the source of this 2735-nucleotide RNA transcript. RefSeq lists it as uncharacterized. The transcript has 8 exons. NCBI's taxonomy places the organism in Eukaryota, Viridiplantae, Streptophyta, Magnoliopsida, Poales, Poaceae. The record is from RefSeq and is a predicted model, not a curated record.
GACGAAGGGUAAAAAAAAGCAACGCAGCCGGCUCCUCUCUCUCCCCGCUCGUCUCCUCCUCUCCCCCACGCCGCCCCUCCUCUCCCUGCUCGUCUCCUCCUCUCCUCUUCCCUCUCCGACCAGGGUCAGAGCCUCGCCGGCCGCUCCCCCGAGCCGACGCCCACUGGCUGCUCUCCAGAUGCAUCCCACCUCCCCCCCCCCCCCCCCCCCCCCCGCCCCGAGAUCGUGGUCAUGGUGGCGCAACGGAGGUCGUGGCUCGUCCCCCGCCGCCUCUUUCGCGCCCCCCUUUUCCUUGCCCCUCCCCGGCGUCCUUGCCUCUGCCAUGGCCUCCGCCCCCCCUCUCCGCAUCACCCCCGCAGCUGCCUCCUCUCCUGCCACCGCGCCGCCCUGGCCUCGUCUCCUCUGCGCCGCCUCCCCCUCUCCGCCACUGCAUGGCCGCCGUCGCUUCCGCCGCUCGUCUCUUUCUUCACGCAGCACCUGCAGGACGACGCAUCCCCAUCCUCCAUCAGCCGCUGUGGUGCGCCAUGGUUCUUGACCGGCCGCAGAUCCAGGAGAAGAGGAGGACGGCGGUGGGGGGAAGGAAGAGCGCGGCCUGGACUCGGCAGGAGGAGAGGGGCAGCAGCAGAUCGGGCUCAGGUUAGGCGAGGCUGGUGGUGCUCAGGCUUCAAGGCGUGCAUUACGUGGACAUGGAGCGAGCGUGGGACAAGGGCGUGGGACAAGGUGACGGUGACCGGCACGGCGAGCCAGAAGAAGGUGUUGCGCGCGGCGCGGCGCACGAGGAAGCUUGCCCACACCCCUCCUCCGCUCGCUCUCGUCUCCGUCAGGCUGUUGAGCUCCUGCUUCCUCCUUGAUCUUCCCAUUGAUUUAGUACUACUACUGUACUGUGUGCUUGUGUUGUUUGUUUGAGGGGUACGGCUACUACUUGUGCUGCUGCUAGAUGUGUGAUGUUGGUUGUAUAUGUGUUUAAUGUUGUUGGGUGCUGCUGGUUCAACUACUACCUGUGCUGGUUGAUUUAAUAUCCGUUUAUUUGUGAAACUGAAAACUCCUGUGAGAGGCAAGGAUUGACAAGAAGGGUCUGAGCCAAUGAGAAGUUUUAUUUUCAGUUUUCAUAUUUAAGAAGUAAUGGAGGAUAUGUCAUAUGUUUUGUUGCUAACAUUUACCUAUGGUGUAUGUAGCUGAUGUUCACUCCAUUGGAGCUGAGUCUCCUUGCCGGCGACCUUGCCAUCACCAGCCUAUCUGCAGGGAUGGACAUAUGGAUUGAAUGGUACCCUCCUGAAAUCUACACAGGUGUCAGAUUUAAGAAAGAAGAAAUAGGGCCAAGAAUAUUAGACCGGAGAACGAAGAGAUGAAGAACAAUGUUAGCUGAAGAGUUGAAGAAGACCAAGGUGAAUUUUAACCGUCUUGCAAACCCAAUCAAGUUUGCACUUCAAUUUGAUAAUAUGAUUUGUGUUGAUGUAAGCACGAGUCCCUCUGAAGGGCUCGACCACCGUCCGGUUCCAGUGGAGGACAACAUCACUUAGCUGUGGCCAUCCUGGGCGCCGCGAGAAUUAGCUGAAAAAUCUUGCUGAGAUCCAGGUCACUGGCCAUCCCCAUUCAGGUGGCUCUGAAACUUGUUCCUAAUGAAGAUAAAUUUAUGGAAGUGGUUAGGGAAACAGGAGGAGCAAUUUUAGCAUGGCAGGUGCUUCUCAGGUUCGAUGGCUUCCGGCAACAUCAAGGUCAUAGUGCUUUCCUCGUGGGUUCAGCCUUUGACAUUAAGUGAUCAUCUGCAAGACCGAAUUUUGCCAUUGUUGAUGGUGCACAGUUCUGUUGCAUGGUAAACCCAAUAUUGUCCCUCCUUUCAAGCUCCUGCGUUCAUCCUAGAGAAAAUUGUGGAAAAUACAUCUGAACUAUCUUUUAAUCUUCCAACAGUGUACUGCUACAGAUGGGCUUUAUUCAGUUAUUUUCUUGACUAGAAUGAUGAUGUUUGCGGAUGGGCGUUGUUCAGUCAUAAGAGCUUAUCGGUUCAGCCUGCAUAGUUUUGUUUCUUCAGUGUACUAUGUCUGAGGAAAACAUUUAUUUUGUUUCCUAUUUAAGUGAAUUCAUGGCUGAGAUGGAUGAAUUUCUAUUGUGUGGGCUGGAGGUUCUUGAGGUGGAAAUUAGCAAGCAAGCUACAGUCGGUCCAUGGAUGACCAAGUUUACUGAUUACUUUAUGAAGACAAUGAUUCCUAAAUAGAAUUACGAGCUAGGUCCUGCAUGUUGAUCGUGCUUCAAGGUACAGUUGUGACAUAGGUAAAUGCUCAACUUUAGCUCAUAAACUGGAUUCAAAUGCUAAUUCUGAUAGGGCUUUUGCCACUUAUUGUUUUAUGGUUGCCUAGACAGCUGAUGUCAUGCUUCUUUCUUACUAAUUGUCAAUUCUUUUGUACAUGGUCCUUAUGCUUUGUUGCUUUGCUACACAAUGAGAGUAUGUAGAUAGCAUGUACAGUUUUUACAUUGUUUUGCGCAGGUUGAGAUGCAUCACAUGAUAUUUGCCUCUUACAUUUAUGGGUAUUACAGAGUGAUUUCUUUUUCCACAAGGGGCAGUAGCUGUGCCAUUCGAUUCGAAGGACAAAGAGUUGAUCACAAAGAGGUAGCAUUCAGGAUAUAUACACAAAAGAGUAUAGAACCAAAUUACAUGAUGUAAUUGACCAUUAUUUCUAUUAACUUUUCCUGCACACAAUGUUCGUGAGUUCAUAUAUUAAGUACAUUUUAUUGUGUCA